GAGGUUUUCUUCCGCAACAAGUCACGGGGCUGUCAUGUGACCGAAGGAAAUAUCGCGAGAUUUGACCAAUUCAUCCAAAAGAGCCAGCAGGCGUUUGGAAGCCUAUCUGUGCAGCUGACACCAGACACAGACAGUGGAUGUGAAGCUGGAGAAGGUUUGCUCUUUAGACCUUCUGUGGCACAUCUGGACGUCUCUACAAGCAGUAAACGCGGCAUGCAUAAAGCAAGGACGAUUGUCUUGUACUCUUUCCUGAAGUUUUGGUUCAGCAGACCAUAUAUGAUAGCGUUGAGGCAGCUGUUGAAGUACGCCAUAAAGUAACUCGUGACAAACAACCAUUCAGGACUCUGACUUCUGCCUGACAUCCUGCAGCUCCACGCUUCCCUUCACUGUGAUCAGGACAGACCCCAGUUUUCUGUCCUCUGUCUGGAUGAACCCUCUCCCCUUAUUGUCGAGAGGAUGGGGAGGACUCCGAGGCAGAGGAGGAGCGGUUCACACUGAAGGCCAGGUCUGAGUCACUGUCGUCUGGACUACUGCUCUGUGAGGGGCUGGGCAAGGGGCUGGGCUGUAAUGUUCCUGUGGCACCAGACAG
This is a long non-coding RNA of Boleophthalmus pectinirostris (great blue-spotted mudskipper), 589 nucleotides long. RefSeq lists it as uncharacterized. Lineage: Eukaryota; Metazoa; Chordata; Actinopteri; Gobiiformes; Gobiidae. The record is from RefSeq and is a predicted model, not a curated record. The transcript has 5 exons.